GAAUACAAGGGGGGAUGAUUCUGCCAGACAGCUUUGAGGGGUCAUCCUGGUCUCAUUAUGUAGAUCUCAUGCCUGAACUAGUUGUCCUGAGCUUCCUUUUCAGUCAAAGGAGAGCAACUGCUGCUUUUAUGGUGCAGUUUAGUUGAGCAUUUUAGAUGUCUGCUUAAGAAGUAUGAUGACUCCUACCUUGCCCUUCUGCUGAUAAGAAAGGAGUUGAGGGAAGUCAACUUAGACGGGAAGUUUAUGAUUAUCUGAUACUAUUAAGUGAUCUGUAAACCUGCAUUCACCUUCUAACAGCUAACAAACUGUCAAACAUCUAUUCUUUCUGGACAAGUCUUACUAUUGCACCUCUCCUCAUUGGCUCUUCUAUCACUUGGAGAAGGAAGUUAUCAUAAUGUAUUCCUCCUGCAUUGUUUCUGCCCUGCUGUGUUGUCCUCCAACAGAUACUGGGGUGGUUGGAGUUCCCCAUGAGGACCAGGGCUUGUCAACAUGAGGCUGCUCCUGUCUGUCUAUGGAGGGCCUCAUCUGCUUGUUCUUCCUGGUGAGGUGGCCUUGCAGCAGACACCUACCAUGAUGUCCUGUUAAUCCUGACACAUUAGCUCUCCUUUGGCUCCUCAUCCACCCCCAGGUGGAGCUCCAUGCACUCCAGAUCGUCACUGACAUAGAGGGCAACACCCCCUCCUUAUCUCCCUGGCCUGCACUUCCUAAAGAACCUGUACCCUUCCAUUCCAACAUUCCAGCUGUAGGAGCCGUCCCACCACACCUCCUCAAUGCCAGUAUUUAAGAAAAGGCUAAACGAGAUAUUUUUGGUAAAUUGCAUUUCCUUGUUAGUCAUCACUUCCUUUUUCAUUCUGAGAAACUGCCCUCUUCAGACAUGCUCAUUUUAUUUGGCAGAAGUGCAGAUAACUCCAGAUGUUGCUGAUUCUUUUGCCUUAGGAAACUGCAGUUGCACCUGAGAGAAAAUAGAAGCCAACCUGGAAGAAAAAGAAAAGAGAUAAAUAAUAGCCUGGCUAGAGGAAAAGGAAAAUCAGAUUAAUUUAUAUGCUCUGGAUGAUCCCUAAUUGUUUCCUUUAAAGAUGAAUGAAAAGCCUUUUUAUUCACAAAAUGCUGAGUUCAGGGCCUUGUACCUCUCCUAUUAGAGUUGAAAACAUCACUGAUAAAGAGUUGCAUUUUCCAGCUUCCCUUAAGGGUCUACUAUUGGAGUGGAAAACAAAGCACCAAAUGUAGCAAUUGACAGAAAACAAAGAGUUCAGCCUGAGACCUGGAAAUUGCUUCAUAAGAGAACCAUCUGUGUAGAGAGAGAUGAACUGAGGCCCUCCUGGGUAUAAUUUAACAUCCACAAAUUGCCAUGAUGGGUGAAGAAAGAGUAAUGCCCACUGCCCAAGAGGAUGUGGAAGAGAAGCAGGAGGGAGUGCGUGCCUGUCCCAUGGCAAUGAUGAAUACUGCCCAUGCUGGGAGCUGCUGCCACGCUGUGGAGAUGCUCAGAGGGAAGAGAGGCUCCUGGGGAUCUUGAAACAACUUGGUUGCAUCAGGUGUUUGCCUCCGGCCAAGCCAACGUGCUCAAGCUUUUGGGCUCUCCUUGUCCUCCAGUUUUUCCCCCUUCAUCUCUCAGGAUUUCACCAGUGAGCCAAAGAGCACUUAUUUUCCCAUCACAGGUCCCCUGGGGGGUGUGGAGUCCGCAGAGCUGCCUCUUCAUGCGCAUUGGCUGGAGGACACAUCUGGACCAGGUUCAUAGAAGGGCAAUGUGGCUGGUGUGGUGGUGCACUGACGCUCUUUGACUCCACAGACUAAACAGAGUCCUUGCAUAUUCAUCCUGAGGAAAUUUGUUGAAAGCAUAGUCUGAGAGCUGUCAACAAAACCUGAGGAAGACUGAGUGAAAAUUUGCCAUCUAAUGGAAAAUUAAAUUUUUGAUAAAGUACUCCUUCAUUUUUUGCAAUCAAUGUGUACUUCCCUUAGACAUCCCAGUGUUUCCUCUAAGAAGCGUAUGCUUGAAUACAGAAACAUUUUUGGUGGAGGUAUUCUGCCCUGUUCAUGCAGUCAUAAGUGAACAGGGUGGUUUAGCUGUGCUUUCUCCUCUCUUCUGGGACAGGCCCUUUUCCUUAAGUCAUGCAAUAGGGGAUGGCCCUGUGUCACUGGCAUCCAAGGUGGGAAGAUGUGGUAUGUUAGAAAUAUAUAUGUGUGCAUGUGCAAACAUUGACACAAACUCUUUUGCAGAGCUGUUGCAUUGUGUUCAACUUCUCUUUAGAGCCAGAGGAUUCAGUGAGGGGCUGCAAGGGUGUGCAACAAGGGGGUGUGAGGUAUCAGUAUGAAAGUGAAACAGGAGGUGGUAGGGCAAGGGCAGGAGAGGGCAAAGGCAGAAGCCAGUAGGGCAGUAAAAACCCUUUAGCCUCUUCUAUCGUCUUGAUCUCCUUCCUCUCUGUUAAGUCCACAUCUGACAGUGCUUCCUGGGAAGUACAACUCACUUGAUUUUUAUUUUCUUCUCUUGGCUAAGCUUUGAUUCACCAUUCAUUCUCUCAAAAAAAGCCCAAUACCUCAGGAAUCUCCUACCAUGUGAGGCGCAAUCUGAUGAGAGAACUUAAGUUAUAGAAGAGAAGGGGAGCAUGCAGUAUUAGGCCUGUGCUCCAAAUUAAAGUAUUUUGGGUUUGAGUGACUGUUCUCCACAGUUAAUUGUUGCUAAAAGAUCCCAGUUUUCUAGACAAUGGGUUCUUCAGAAAAACUGUUUGAAGAAGCACAGCAAAAAAACGAGAGUGGACAGAAGAAUUUCAGCUAAGCUGGUUAAAUAAGCAGUGAUAUGAAAGGCAAAUUGGGAGAAUGUAAGUACAAGAGAAGGAGGGUUUUAUUUUCUAAUUCAGCAAAGUACUUAAAUGAAAGUCUCAAAUGAUAUCCUAGAUGAGAGUCUUGGUAAGGUAUUUAAGACAUACAGUUGUAGGAUAAAACCAAAUAAAUAAACAGCUUCUCAAAGAGUCUUUCUCUUGGGGUUUUCAAAAUAGGACUGCUUUUGUCAUAAUCCUUACAAAAACACAAAAGCAGCUUGUGUAAGUUAAUAAUUAUGCUUCAGGUCUCUGGGUUUUUUUUUGGGGGGGGCUGGUGCAUGGAGAGCCCAAGUUUCCCUGACUUAGCACAUGAGCACUUUCUGAUCUGAUCUCUGUUUGGCAGUGGGCUCCAGCCCUUGUGUGGCUGUCAGCAAAGUUUGUGUCCUUCAGCCCUCCUGAUGGUGACAGGCCACUGCAGUGCCUGGGCUGUAGCUGUUUCUCUGUGUGACAUUGUGCCAGGAGGCUAAAUCUGUCCCAUGCCCAGUCUUGGUGUUGAAAUGGAAGUACAGUGGGCAGUGCCUCACAGUCAGCGAUAUUUUAAACAAAUAACACCUUUUUCUUUUAUAUGGAUUUUUUCUGAGGGAACUUACAUACUUGGUUUGCACGUGGAAGUGUUAAGAUAAUUUUUGUGUGUAUGUGAGCACACGUGUAAGAGAGAGAGAAAGCUCCCCAUCUAACCUUAGAAAUUUUUAACCAGGUAUUCUAUACUUCCUUCUUUAAUGUUGCUGAAAGUGUACUGUGUCUUGCUAGAAAAACUAUUCAGUAUGCUUAAGGACUUAGAAAAUAAUCUCAAAGUCUAUCCUUCAAGGGUGUGAUCUAUUGCUUGCUUUUACCUGCAGGCAUAGAAAUAAAUACCUAUUACCUGUGGAUAUUUAUACCCUCUGAAUUCCUGCAAAGAGCCAGUCCUAAUUUCAGCAGCUCUGCUGGGGUGAAGCUGAUGCCUCUAACUAUCCCUUGCAUCUGCUGAAAAGUACUACAAGCAACCACUUCAGGGUUGUAACUAUGAUCAUGCAAUUAUUGUCACCUGUCUGCAGAAAAAAAGUGCCAAAACAAGCAUAUUGAGAACAGUAAUGUGAUCUGGAAAGUCUAGAGAUUGCUGCAAUAACCUAGUUUUGAACAUAUUAUGUGAUUUUUUUCACAUGGAUAAUAUUAAUACCCAGACACAUUUUUCAUUAUCACUCUCUAGCAUUUCUAGAGAGUGAUGCCAGAGUUACUAUGUAUAUAUCAUCCCUUGCUCUUGCAUAUGAUAACUGUCAUCAAUACUGUAUUUGUGGAAAUAUCAGAAAUUCAUAAAUAUCAAUUAAUUAAUAGCUAUGAUAACAUCCAUGUUCAGGUGCAUACUGGCUCAGGAGUGGUGAAUCACUCAGAUCUCUCCUCUCUGGAUACUCUUUGAGUGGCAUGUCCAGAGGGUGGUUUAACAAGGCUACUACAGCAGCCCCUUCUCCAUAUGUCUGUCCUGUUCUAGCAGAAAGAAAGGCUGCGGGAACAAGGUGCUUUGCCCUGCUUUGCAGCUUGGUGGGAAGGAACCUGAGGAGGUGACUAAAGCCAGACCUACACAGGACUCUCAUGAGAGUGAAGGUAAAGUAUGACAUUCAUAAAGGUGUUCAUUUUAUGAUGCUCGUAUUAUGAUGUUCAUAAAGAGUGUUUGUGCAUCUUUGCUGUUCUGUAUCAGUUUGUCCAUGGUCUGGAGGGAAUUUUGAGGCUAUAAGCUGAAAUGGGGCAUAAAACUGAUCUAGGUUAAAUAUAUUCCCUUACCCACCUUGCAUUUUUUUUUUUGCAAACUUGGUUAAGCUCAUAAUCCCAGGUCACCAUGUGCUCCCUCACACUGUCAAUGUGAU
This is a long non-coding RNA of Columba livia (rock pigeon), 4651 nucleotides long. RefSeq lists it as uncharacterized. NCBI's taxonomy places the organism in Eukaryota, Metazoa, Chordata, Aves, Columbiformes, Columbidae. The transcript has 3 exons. The record is from RefSeq and is a predicted model, not a curated record.